Long non-coding RNA from Larimichthys crocea (large yellow croaker), 2674 nucleotides. RefSeq lists it as uncharacterized. The record is from RefSeq and is a predicted model, not a curated record. NCBI's taxonomy places the organism in Eukaryota, Metazoa, Chordata, Actinopteri, Sciaenidae. The transcript has 5 exons.
GUAAAUCCUUCAUGUAGAUUCUUGGUUCCGUUGAAAAAACGAACUUGUAAGCUUUCAAACGAGGUCCAACAUGUGUGUGUGGACGUUUAGAGGCAACAUGGAAACACGCUCUUUAUGGAUUUAUCAAUGUUUACAUGGACAUGUCGGGUCGCGUGCAUCCUGCGCGCUUUAAAACAUUAAAAGACAGAACAGGUGAAAACAUCCCAGGUGCAGCUCCAGAGCCGUCUGUCACCAUACUUGAUGAAACAAAUGACUGGGCACGGCUACAGUGUAAAGCUCAUGGUGUUCCACAUCUUGAAGUAAAGUGGCAGGACAGUGAUGGAAAGACCCUUGCUGAGGAGCAACAGGUCUCGGGAAGUGAUCGUAAAUACAUUACUCUCCUCACGACUGUGACCAAGACUGGCAACUUCUCCUGUGUGGCAACGCAGAAGGACAUCAGCCAUAGGAUUUCUUCUCAGAUCUACGUGCACGUUCAUGGUGAGUGGUAUUUUAAUCCUCAAUCAUUUAAAUCAUUCAUGUGUUACUGGAACAAAGACUCCCAUACUCCACUUCAGUUCCAUCACAUUAAACAAAGAGUCAAAAACACCUGCUGAACAUUUCCAAAGUGUCAGCAGCUUAAUUUAAUAUUUCACUCAGCACCUUCAAACUUAGUUAUUGGAAGCUGUAACCAGUGAACACGUCACCGGGCUCUAAGAUGAAAUGAUGAAACCCAGUUCAGUUCAUCUCUACUCUGAUUCAGUAACUAUGACAACCUGAUCCCGAGGAUCGUCAUAGCAACGCCACACACACACAGCCACUUGAAAUCCAUCUGUUGGUAGUUGUAAUGACUGUCCAAACUUUCAGUCACUUCGUCUGUGAUUUGGUGUUAAUUAAAUCACCUGAUGCCCACCUAUAAUGAGCAAACACAGAGAUAGCUCACUCCCCCUUGUGGUUAAAUCAAAAAGUGGCUCCUACAUGGAAUUUAAGGAACUAAAGUAUUUAUUUUAUUUUAUACAUGGAUCAUAUGUUUUGUACGUAAAAUAAAUAUAUACAGUAACUAGUAUAUGCUAAAUGUUUUGGAGUCUAAAGUACAAUAUUUCCCCAGAGCAGAGAACCUGGGCUGUACACAGAUUGUCACACACAUUUGCAGAUCUCAGGCACAGCAGGAGUUUAGCACAAGUCACAUGUAAAGAGCCUGAAGUGGAGGUGGAGGACGGGGAUUCAAACCUUCUUCCUGCUGAUGAGCAGCACGUCUCAGAAACAGGACGAUGCUACAACAUCACCCUCCUCACUACUGCGACCAAAAGCACAAGCAAAGCUCUCAGCUGUGCAGCCGAGCAGGAGGAAAGUGUCUGUAAGAUCAGAGCUAACAUCACUGUUCCUGCUGAGAUUCAUCCCAGUGGUGUUUUUAUCUGCUAACAAGUUCAGAUUUCAGGAGCAGGAACACCUUUAGUUCUUCUUUGUGUCAGCUCUGAUGUUCAAUCUGCUCUGUAUGAUCUGCACUUACAUUCUGAGUGUCACAUUCACUUUUCCUCUUCUGUUUCAGAGGCAGAACCACAGCCAGACAACACUUGGUUGAUUGUUGCUGUUGUUUUCAUCAUUCUUUUUGUUGCUUAUGGAGCUGUUGUUGGAGUUGUGCUUUACAAGCGCAUACAGAAAUAUAAGAGAGUCUUCCCUUGGUGGAUUCGUGCUGUUGUUGUUGUUCUCGGCAUUCUUUUGUUUCCUCUUGGAGCUGUUGUUCUUGUUGUGCUUUACAUGUGCAAACAGAAACAUAAGAGAGGUUCUCGUCAGCACACAGGGAGCUCACCUGAAGAUCCUGCUAAAGGCGAGAAACAAACUGAAGAAACGCCAAUGAAUUAAAACUCUGAGAAACAACCUGAUGAAGAAGUUUAACCGUCUUCACAUGUGCUGUGCAGUUGUCUGCUGAAGUUUGUGUGUUUGAGCUUUAGUGAUGGUGAGCACGUUUUGGCUGGUGCUCACUUAUUUCAGGUAGUUUGGUUUUAUGUUUGAAGUUAGAUUCAGGUUGAAGGUUGUUUGUCACAUGGUUUGGAGAAUUAGCGCCAUCACCUGUUUAUCUAUAAGAAAGCACCGUUUGUAUUCUCAUGUCAAUACUGGAUGUAAAUCCACAUUCUGUUCCAGUUCAUUCAACUGUUUUCUGUCUUGUCACUCCACCUGACAGUCUGUCUGUUCUGAACAACUAAACUAGACUUUAGUCUUCAGGCGUGCUCGGCCAACAUGUUUUAUGAACUCGUCUUUAAAAUGAACCCAGACAGGACAGAAGCAGUUUUCCUGUAGCUGUCUACACUGAUACCAACAGUACAUUCAUCAUCAUCGAUUUGAUCUCUUCCACACAUUUAACCUCGUCUACACAUUAACCAGGCUGUAGUUACUCUGGACACAUCAUGUUUUGAUAUUUGGAUUCAUGAUCCCAACAAUAUAAUCUGUGAUUUAAGAGAACAAGUGGCCUUUAAUGCUGACAGAGCUGAUUAUUAAUGAAUCAUUCCAUCAGGUGAGAAUUAAAUUAUUAUUUCUUUCUUUCUUUUGCCUUGUUAAACCAGAGUGUGUCAGCUGGAGUUCUACACUGAGCUGUGUACUGUUGUUGACUCUGAAAUAUGAAAGUGCAUUAAUGUUGUAUACUGAUGGUGCAAUCAUCUUUUCUAUCCAAAGCUUUGAAUAAAAGUUGAAAAAUGUCAAA